This is a long non-coding RNA of Equus asinus (donkey), 2257 nucleotides long. The record is from Ensembl. NCBI's taxonomy places the organism in Eukaryota, Metazoa, Chordata, Mammalia, Perissodactyla, Equidae.
CCAGAACAAGGCAGUUACUGGUCAUCUAUUAACUGUCAGGAACUGUGCCAGGUACUUCCCAGAUUCCUCAACUGCCAUCUUCCAGAUGGAUGGAGGGAGUUGGGCAAGGCCAGCUGGGCCCUGGCUGAAGCAGGGAAUGGAAGAGCAGACCCCAGACCCAUUCUGGUGCCCAUUUCAUCAACACUGGCUUUUGUCUGCUUUUGUCUCAUGCUCAGCCAAGCAGAGGCCAGAGGAAGGCAGAGAAGAUGAGGAGACCAGCUAAGUUGCAUAGUGCAGAAUAAUGCACUGCCUUGCAGCCACCCAGACCAGAGUUCAAAUCCCAGCUCUGCUGUGUGCUCUUACUAGGUGAUCUUGGAGAAGCUGCCUGACCCCUCCAGGCCUUGGAACUCUAAUCUAUAAAAUGGUGGUGUUAAUAACCGUCAUCUCCAGUAUCUGUGACGCUGUGGGUUAAGUAACAUCCGCUCUGGCUGUGGGAUCCUAGACAUGUUAUUUUGCCUCCCUCUGCUUCAGUGAACCCAUCUUUAAAAUGGGAAUGAUAACUCUUACUCAUAGAGGUGGAGUAAGGAUUAAAUCCAUUAAAUGAAUCAAUCUACACAAAGUACUUAGAACAACAUCUGGCCUGUCCCAAGAGCUUGGCACACCCCCCACGCCCCACCUCCCUCCUGCGGUCAGGGGCCCCCUAGGCAGGGAUAGUCUCUUGGUGUCUCUUUCUUCUUAAGUGGAAGAUGGCCCCAGGACAGAGGGAGCAGCGAGGGCCUGGAUGCCCUGGAGGAGUGAAGAACCAUAGAGAUUGGUUUCCAAACUCAAAUAGUACUUAGUGAGCACCAGCCCUGUGCCAGGCACCGGGCUGGACACGCUGGCAGCAUUUCCUCUGAUCCAAGUGCAACCCUGAGGGGCACGGUUCCCAGCAUUUCUGGAGGGGAACCCAAGAGUCAGAGAUGUCAGGGACAGCCAACUGCCCUUGGAGAAGCGGAAUAGAAGGAAUUCGAAACCAUGACCUGUGACUCUGUGUCCCCUAUUCUGCCUUCAUCAUGCCACGCUCUUCAUGUCUCAAAUAGAAGUUCCUGCAGAGGAGGUGUCAGGCUCAGCGAGCAAAGCUGGGCCCUGUGGAAUCACUGAAUAGCAGAUUUCAAGUCACUAUAAGCACCCUGUCUAACAGUCCAAGCUUCCCCAAGCUGAGAAGUGCUGCCUUAGGGGGAAUGGGCCCCCUGUCCCCAGUCGUGGCAUCUCAGAAGCUCUUCCUGGCUCCCUGGAUUGGUGUGAGUUCCCUGCUAGGUCAUCCCACCCUAGAGUUCAUCACACUGUGUGGUAACUGAUGGAUCACAGUUACAGUCUGAAAGAGCUUCACUCUCCUAGCGGCAGCAGACCUGGAAUGUCCCAGUGCUGUGGGAAGCCGGCUCAGCGCCUGAGAGUCUCCAUGCUGCACGACCUGGGAAGUGAGCGCCCUUUGAAGGGAAUCACAGCCAAAUCAGUUUUCCCUGUUUGUAAAAUGGGGUGCAGAGCUGAGGAGAGUUGGCUAUCAUCACACUCCCUGCAGAGCAGUGGGCAGCUGACUGGGAAGCCCCGACACAGGCAAAAAACUCAAGGCCUAAAGGAGUGAAAUAGAAGAUCCAGGACCUGGGUGGCUUGAUAAGGAGACAUGAGCACCAAGCUUGUGGUCAGAAGAAGUGGAUUCAAGAGCUAGACAGUUUAGAGAGAUGUUGACAAUAACGCCAGAAACCCAGGCUGAGAACAAUAACCUUGGUGGGCACAGAUGCUCCCUCUUAGCUGUGGGCUUAGGGGCAGUGAAGGCCCCAUUAUCAGGCUGAGGAGACCAACCAAGCUUGCAUGCAGACGCUCUCCGUUCCUGGGCCGGAUCCCGGGAGACCCUGGCAUACAGGGCUUUCUUUCAGGCAGUAACCAACACUGGGGGCUCAGGCCACAGGCACGCCUCACUCAGCUCUCCCCCGCCCUUGCUGCCUCAGGGGCUGGGAGGACAGAAAGCUCCUUGCGGGCAGGCACUUCCCCAGGAAAGGCAGACCGGUGGAGUCUGGAUGCAGAGCUUUCUGCCAACAGAACUUCCCACGGGCAGCCUGAAAUGAGCAGCAAUUACACGUGGCCUCUAGGGCCACAUUUGAUAAGAAGAGCUGCAAUUUACUGUGUCCCUACUAUGUACGAAGCACGUUAAAUUUGUUAUUUACUUAGCAACUAUUCUCUGAGUGCCUUGAAGUGCCAGGCCCUGGCUGGGGACCAGGGGUACAUGGCCCCUGCCCCUAUG